GAUGAACGCUGGCGGCGUGCCUAAUACAUGCAAGUCGAGCGAACAGACGAGGAGCUUGCUCCUCUGACGUUAGCGGCGGACGGGUGAGUAACACGUGGAUGACCUACCUAUAAGACUGGGAUAACUUCGGGAAGCCGGAGCUAAUACCGGAUAAUAUAUUGAACCGCAUGGUUCAAUAGUGAAAGACGGUUUUGCUGUCACUUAUAGAUGGAUCCGCGCCGCAUUAGCUAGUUGGUAAGGUAACGGCUUACCAAGGCAACGAUGCGUAGCCGACCUGAGAGGGUGAUCGGCCACACUGGAACUGAGACACGGUCCAGACUCCUACGGGAGGCAGCAGUAGGGAAUCUUACGCAAUGGGCGAAAGCCUGACGGAGCAACGCCGCGUGAGUGAUGAAGGUCUUCGGAUCGUAAAACUCUGUUAUUAGGGAAGAACAAAUGUGUAAGUAACUAUGCACGUCUUGACGGUACCUAAUCAGAAAGCCACGGCUAACUACGUG
This 497-nucleotide ribosomal RNA is filed under the name uncultured bacterium. RNAcentral describes it as "partial 16S ribosomal RNA". It matches the Rfam family "Bacterial small subunit ribosomal RNA", at positions 28 to 507 of the family's 1533-position model. The record is from RNAcentral.